Molecule: ribosomal RNA, 452 nt
Filed under: uncultured bacterium
Lineage: Bacteria
Description: SSU rRNA
Rfam family: Bacterial small subunit ribosomal RNA
Source: RNAcentral
AGAACGAACGCUGGCGGCAGGCCUCAAACAUGCAAGUCUAGGGGGUGUAGCAAUACAUCACCGGCGGACGGGUGCGUAACACGUGGGAAUAUACCUUUUGGUUCGGAACAACGCAGGGAAACUUGCGCUAAUACCGAAUGUGCCCUUACGGGGAAAGAUUUAUCGCCAAAGGAUUAGCCCGCGUAGGAUUAGCUAGUUGGUGAGGUAAUGGCUCACCAAGGCUCCGAUCCUUAGCUGUUCUGAGAGGAAGAUCAGCCACACUGGGACUGAGACACGGCCCAGACUCCUACGGGAGGCAGCAGUUGGGAAUCUUGGACAAUGGGGGAAACCCUGAUCCAGCCAUGCCGCGUGAGUGAUGAAGGCCUUCGGGUUGUAAACCUCUUUCAGCAGGGAGAAGCGAAAGUGACGGUACCUGCAGAAGAAGCACCGGCUAACUACGUGCCAGCAGCCGC